GAGGGUAUAGCUCAGUGGUUAGAGAACAUGUUUAGCAUGUAGGAGGUCCUGGGUUCAAUCUCCAGUACUUCCA
This 73-nucleotide transfer RNA is filed under the name Camelus bactrianus (Bactrian camel). It matches the Rfam family "tRNA". Rfam says of the family: Transfer RNA (tRNA) molecules are approximately 80 nucleotides in length. Their secondary structure includes four short double-helical elements and three loops (D, anti-codon, and T loops). Further hydrogen bonds mediate the characteristic L-shaped molecular structure. tRNAs have two regions of fundamental functional importance: the anti-codon, which is responsible for specific mRNA codon recognition, and the 3' end, to which the tRNAs corresponding amino acid is attached (by aminoacyl-tRNA synthetases). tRNAs cope with the degeneracy of the genetic code in two manners: having more than one tRNA (with a specific anti-codon) for a particular amino acid; and 'wobble' base-pairing, i.e. permitting non-standard base-pairing at the 3rd anti-codon position. The record is from Rfam by way of RNAcentral. Lineage: Eukaryota; Metazoa; Chordata; Mammalia; Artiodactyla; Camelidae. RNAcentral also lists the same sequence under 2 other names.